UAAUUUGAAUUGCUCCGAAGCUGGAUAGCCUAAAGCAGAUGCCAUGGCAACCAGACAAGUGUCUACGACACUCGGGUAUUAUGGGAAACUAUAAUAUCUCCUGCUGGAAAGGAGUCUGUUUGACGGUGGU
This 130-nucleotide non-coding RNA is filed under the name Desulfosporosinus orientis. RNAcentral describes it as "MoCo sequence". It matches the Rfam family "Molybdenum/Tungsten riboswitch aptamer (Moco RNA motif)". The record is from RNAcentral. Lineage: Bacteria; Bacillati; Bacillota; Clostridia; Eubacteriales; Desulfitobacteriaceae. RNAcentral also lists the same sequence under 1 other name.